GAUGAAGAACGCUGCGAAAUGCGAUAAGUAAUGUGAAUUGCAGAAUUCAGUGAAUCAUCGAAUCUUUGAACGCACAUUGCGCCCCCUGGUAUUCCGGGGGGCAUGCCUGUCCGAGCGUCAUUACAACCCUCAAGCUCAGCUUGGUGUUGGGCCCCGCCGCCCCGGCGGGCCCUAAAGUCAGUGGCGGUGCCGUCCGGCUCCGAGCGUAGUAAUUCUUCUCGCUCUGGAGGUCCGGUCGUGUGCUCGCCAGCAACCCCCAAUUUUUUUCAGGUUGACCUCGGAUCAGGUAGGGAUACCCGCUGAACUUAAGCAUAUCAAUAAGCGGAGGA
Molecule: unclassified non-coding RNA, 329 nt
Filed under: soil metagenome
Description: partial contains 5.8S ribosomal RNA, internal transcribed spacer 2, and large subunit ribosomal RNA
Rfam family: 5.8S ribosomal RNA (bases 1-120)
Source: RNAcentral